Molecule: microRNA, 22 nt
Filed under: Pristionchus pacificus
Lineage: Eukaryota; Metazoa; Nematoda; Chromadorea; Rhabditida; Neodiplogasteridae
Description: ppc-miR-8346-3p
Source: miRBase by way of RNAcentral
UAGCUGUAUCAGAUAUCAAGGA